AGUGAACGCUGGCGGCAUGCCUAACACAUGCAAGUCGAACGGCCGCACAGUGAGAUCUCUCUUUUACGGUUGGCGACUGGCGGGCGAGUAAGGAAUACAUCACAAUCUUCUUUUUCUUGGGUGACAACGUGGGGACAGUUACGCUACUACCUCAUACGUUCUACGGCUUGAAUCAGUGGUUCUUGGGGCCUUUGGCGAUUCUAUUAGCCGGUGUCGGAUUAGCUAGUUGGCUGGGUAAAGGCCCACCAAGGCGACGAUCCGUAGCUGGUCUGAGAGGAUGAUCAGCCACACUGGAACUGAGACACGGUCCAGACUCCUACGGGAGGCAGCAGUGGGGAAUAUUGGGCAAUGGGCGAAAGCCUGAUGCAGCCAUACCGCGUGGGUGAAGAAGGCCUUCGGAUUGUAAAGCUCUUUUAUUGGGAAAGAAAAGCAGUAGGUUAAUACAUGGAUGUUUUGACGGUACCUAAAGAAAAAGCACCGGCUAACUUCGUG
RNAcentral lists this ribosomal RNA (492 nucleotides) under uncultured bacterium. RNAcentral describes it as "partial 16S ribosomal RNA". It matches the Rfam family "Bacterial small subunit ribosomal RNA", at positions 29 to 507 of the family's 1533-position model. The record is from RNAcentral.